ACUUGUAUUUGUAAGGAUGCUUUGGUGGUGAUGUUGGUGGAGGUGGUGGGGACUUGUACUUGUAAGGGUGCUUGGGUGGUGAUGGAGGUGGAGGUGGUGGAGACUUAUACUUGUAAACUGGAGGUGGUGGGGGUGGAGACUUGUACUUGUAGGGGUGCUUGGGUGAUGAUGGAGGUGGAGGUGGUGGAGACUUAUACUUGUAAACUGGAGGUGGUGGGGGUGGAGACUUGUACUUGUAAGGGUGCUUGGGUGGUGAUGGUGGGGGUGGGGACUUGUACUUGUAGGGGUGUUUAGGUGGUGAUGGUGGUGGUGGUGGUGGGGACUUGUACUUGUAAGGAUGCUUGGGUGGUGAUGGUGGUGGAGGUGGAGGAGACUUGUACUUGUAAGGAUGCUUGGGUGGUGAUGGUGGUGGAGGUGGUGGAGACUUAUACUUGUAAACAGGAGUUGGUGGGGGAGGAGAUUUGUACUUGUAAGGUUUCUUGUGUGGUGGUGGUGGAGGAGAGUAGACCGGAGGAGGCGGUGGGGGAGACUUGUAAUGGUAGGGUGGUGGUGGGUAUUUCUUAGGAG
Molecule: long non-coding RNA, 567 nt
Filed under: Gossypium barbadense (sea-island cotton)
Lineage: Eukaryota; Viridiplantae; Streptophyta; Magnoliopsida; Malvales; Malvaceae
Description: long non-coding RNA (GBAR_LNC001208)
Source: RNAcentral